CAGCAGCCGCGGGAAAACGUAGGGUGCAAGCGUUACUCGGAAUUACUGGGCGUAAAGCGUGCGUAGGUGGUGGUUUAAGUCCGUUGUGAAAGCCCUGGGCUCAACCUGGGAAUUGCAGUGGAUACUGGGUCACUAGAGUGUGGUAGAGGAUAGCGGAAUUUCCGGUGUAGCAGUGAAAUGCGUAGAGAUCGGAAGGAACAUCAGUGGCGAAGGCGGCCAUCUGGGACAACACUGACGCUGAGGCACGAAAGCGUGGGGAGCAAACAGGAUUAGAUACCCGCGUAGUCCCUGUCUCUUAUAA
RNAcentral lists this ribosomal RNA (301 nucleotides) under uncultured bacterium. RNAcentral describes it as "partial 16S ribosomal RNA". It matches the Rfam family "Bacterial small subunit ribosomal RNA", at positions 509 to 809 of the family's 1533-position model. The record is from RNAcentral.